UACGUAGGGUGCUAGCGUUGUUCGGAAUCAUUGGGCGUAAAGCGCGUGUAGGUGGUUAGGUAAGUCGAAUGUGAAAUCCCUCGGCUCAACCGAGGAAGUGCAUCCGAAACUCCCUAGCUAGAGGACGGUAGAGGAAGGUGGAAUUCCAAGUGUAGAGGUGAAAUUCGUAGAUAUUUGGAGGAAUACCGGUGGCGAAGGCGGCCUUCUGGGCCGUUCCUGACACUGAGGCGCGAAAGCGUGGGGAGCAAACAGG
This 253-nucleotide ribosomal RNA is filed under the name uncultured bacterium. RNAcentral's name for it is "partial 16S ribosomal RNA". It matches the Rfam family "Bacterial small subunit ribosomal RNA", at positions 524 to 776 of the family's 1533-position model. The record is from RNAcentral.